This 645-nucleotide ribosomal RNA is filed under the name Helicobacter pylori. RNAcentral describes it as "bacterial LSU rRNA". It matches the Rfam family "Bacterial large subunit ribosomal RNA", at positions 1717 to 2371 of the family's 2925-position model. Lineage: Bacteria; Pseudomonadati; Campylobacterota; Epsilonproteobacteria; Campylobacterales; Helicobacteraceae. The record is from RNAcentral.
GCAAACUAGCACCGUAAGUUCGCGAUAAGGUGUGCCGCAGCAAUGCGGUCUCAGCAAAGAGUCCCUCCCGACUGUUUACCAAAAACACAGCACUUUGCCAACUCGUAAGAGGAAGUAUAAGGUGUGACGCCUGCCCGGUGCCCGAAGGUUAAGAGGAUGCGUCAGUCGCAAGAUGAAGCGUUGAAUUGAAGCCCGAGUAAACGGCGGCCGUAACUAUAACGGUCCUAAGGUAGCGAAAUUCCUUGUCGGUUAAAUACCGACCUGCAUGAAUGGCGUAACGAGAUGGGAGCUGUCUCAACCAGAGAUUCAGUGAAAUUGUAGUGGAGGUGAAAAUUCCUCCUACCCGCGGCAAGACGGAGAGACCCCGUGGACCUUUACUACAACUUAGCACUGCUAAUGGGAAUAUCAUGCGCAGGAUAGGUGGGAGGCUUUGAAGUAAGGGCUUUGGCUCUUAUGGAGCCAUCCUUGAGAUACCACCCUUGAUGUUUCUGUUAGCUAACUGGCCUGUGUUAUCCACAGGCAGGACAAUGCUUGGUGGGUAGUUUGACUGGGGCGGUCGCCUCCUAAAAAGUAACGGAGGCUUGCAAAGGUUGGCUCAUUGCGGUUGGAAAUCGCAAGUUGAGUGUAAUGGCACAAGCCAGCCUG